Molecule: long non-coding RNA, 1179 nt
Organism: Mauremys reevesii (Reeves's turtle)
Lineage: Eukaryota; Metazoa; Chordata; Testudines; Geoemydidae
Exons: 3
Source: RefSeq, a predicted model, not a curated record
CAGACAGAAGGUGGUGGCUGCCAGAGAGGCUAAGGACCAUCCUGUGUCAGCAGCAUAGUGGUGUAAGAAGCUGCCAAGGAGCAGGAUCUGAAGGACUGUGGUAAGACUGCUGAGGGAAGUCUCACCAAUGUAUUUUAUGAGGCACCUGUCACCUUAGUAUUUAAGUGUGGAGAGCAACAGUCCUCAUAAAGGUAGAUAUGUUAGAAGACAUCCCAUCUUACUGCUUCAGAACAGAAGACCAAAGGAUUCUGGUGAUGGUCGGCACAGAUAACACUUAAAGGCUUGCAGCCCAUAUGCUUUCCAACAUUCCUUUGUAUCUACUGGAGUUCCAGGCAUGAAAUGGCUGCAGCAUUAGCCCCAAUUAACAGUGAUUAAACCCGUGAUCUCUGAAGCACCAACAUCUAAAGAAGUAAUUUUAUUUAUAAAGUACCCUCCCUCCUCUGCAGAUGUGCUUGGAUGCUACCUAAUACAUUCUAAUAUUUCAAAGACUUAUAAAAACUUACAAGAAAAAUCUCAGUCUGAUAAAGGAAAAAACCUCUAAACAAAGCAGGGUUGGGUGGAAAAGGAAGGGUCAUUUUCUGACUGACGAUCAUUGUAAUAUUAAUAAUGGAGUUGCCUACAAUUAGGAGAAGUGGACUGAGGAGAAUGUCAAGAAAGAGUGGGUACAACAGUGUAGGAGUCAUCAGAGCCAAGGUGUGAUUGCUUGCCAAUCUAGGGGCCACGAUAGGGAAUCCUUAAAAGAUGGAUAGUGACACAAAACAAGGCCAGGGGAGCAGAGGGCAAAGCAAAGAGGUGGAGCAUGGGGGAAAAAACAUAAUUAAGCAGAGGAGGAUACUGUUUUCUAUCUGGACAAAGACUGUCAUGUCCCCUAGAUUUAGGGACGUGUGUGUGAAGCCAUCCCCUCUGUACUGUUGCAGUUCCAGCCCCUGCCUGCUCAAACAGCACUGCUCCAACAGGAGCCAUGUUUCCAUAGGCCUCCACCCAGACCUGCACAAACCUUGCUCCUUCUCUGAGAGAAGUGCAAGUGUAAAAGCUGAACCAUCAGGCAGGGCCUGUAUGCUUCAAUAUGCAGCGGCUCCCUUGGUCCUUUCCUGCCCCAAAUAUAUGCAGAGUUAUGACCCUGUGCAGCUUCUGUGGAAAGGGCCAUUUCAAGCGUGGGUGAUAUCUAUUGCAGCCUGU